GGAGUGCCCAGGAUCAUUCAACCUAUGUCAUUUAACAAUUUGCUUUUUCCUAUUAGUCCUCGCUAGUCGCUAGGCGGCACGCUAGUUGAAAGUCUGAAAACCUCCAUCUGGGAAAUUCUAGAGUUUAUUCUGCAAGUCGGUAAAAGCUAGGGUUUUGCCAGCUCUUGCACACUUGGCUUCUGGGUCAGUUUCUCUCUUUUAUGUUUCCUUCUGUAUAGUUUUCUUCUUUCGUACAUUGUUAUUUCAUUUUACUAAGGAAAAGCAAAAGCUUUGAUAUUUUUGUGCAAUAUAUUUCUAUCGUAAGUUUUGAGGUUGCAAGAAAGCUCAUUUAUUUGAAUAUAGCAAAUAGCAUGCUUCAAAUGCCUGUAGUUUGAACAUGUGAACCAUUCUGGUGAAUCAAUCAACACACAUUACAAUAAUUGGUUCUUCACCUUUCUUGUAUAGCCUUUUAACUAACUCAUCACAUGAUUAAAUGAAUAGCUGAAACUAGAUACCCAGCUAAUCAGCGGCUAACUUCCUAGCUAUUAAUUCUCAUCUUAUGUUAUUAUUUUCCAGCAUAGCGAUAAGCUUGUUGAAAGCUGCAUCCACUGGAUUGUACAUUUGAUUGCUAGCUAUACCUUAUUUAAUUUGCAGUUGAGAGGGCAUUCCAUUUGCAAACGUCAAUGGGUUUUGCUUGGACAGACUAUUUGGUCUUACUGAAUUCCACAUAUUGGCACUCAUUGUCAAGCGAUGCCUAUGGGAAAGCUUAUUUUUAUAUGUCAAUCAGGUGGGAAGUUUACCUCAGCUAGUGAUGGCUCCUUGUUGUACACAGGCGGAGAUGCUUAUGCUCUCAGUGUAAACCAUGAAAGUAAAUUUCAUGGCAGAGAUGUGGAAUUAUGAUCUUACUUCCUUGACCAUCAAAUACUUGCUACCCAAUAGCAAGCAGACUCUUAUCACCAAAUCUAGUGACGAAGACAUCCAUCGCAUGAUUGAUUUCCAUGAAGAUUCCAAAACUGUUGAUGUAUUUGUUAUGACAAAUGAAAACUUGGAAUGUGAGGCCUUAGUUAUGCCUUGUAGUAGGUAGUGUACUUAUCUUCUCUAAUGUUGAUGGGAAUUUUCAUUGUUUUUGCUGUGUUGAAUGGAUCAGCUGACUUAUGGUUACCGGUUGAUCUUAAGAAUCUUGGAAGGAUUUUAGUGCCAACUGGGUCCCACUUUUGAGAUUCUACUGUAACCUUGAAUACAGGUGACCAUGGGUUUAUUGUGUCAAAAUCCAUUUCACUGUGUGUCCUUGCAUAUUACCUAAAUAUCUUAUGCAUGCUUGUUCUUGCAUGUCCAGUGGCAAUAUGAUGAUUGAACUUGUCACCUUUCCAAUAUUGCUCCUGUUGCUUGCUUC
This 1372-nucleotide unclassified non-coding RNA is filed under the name Hevea brasiliensis (rubber tree). Lineage: Eukaryota; Viridiplantae; Streptophyta; Magnoliopsida; Malpighiales; Euphorbiaceae. The record is from RNAcentral.